Monodelphis domestica (gray short-tailed opossum) is the source of this 677-nucleotide long non-coding RNA. RefSeq lists it as uncharacterized. NCBI's taxonomy places the organism in Eukaryota, Metazoa, Chordata, Mammalia, Didelphimorphia, Didelphidae. The record is from RefSeq and is a predicted model, not a curated record.
CUGUUACCACCAAGGAGGUGGGGAAAACAAAUUCCCCCACUCUAGGUCGCUCCGGAAACGUAGCUGACUCACGGAGCUAAAGUAAAGGAGACCUACACCUGAAUUGGAAGGCGGAGACUGAAAGAGCUGAAGAGUGCUGAAGAUCCUGAAAGAGCUUCUCCUAAAUAGAGGCCUUGUCCCUAAGAUUGCCCAGAGUUAUAAGGAAAAUGGAGGUCUGCAGAGAAAAGAGGCAUGAGACCAACAGGGAAGGAUUCUGGAAUGUUGAGCUGAGCACUCAAGAGCUGGGAGUCUCUCUGGAAGGAUUUGCUGUCAAAUACUUGGCGGAGUUCCUGUACCUGUCCUUGCUGUGGAUACCUGUGUUUCCCUUGGAAGAAGAUCCUUGAACCUGAAGUGAGCCUGAAACAGCUGAGUGGGAGAUCAGAGUCCAUCUGGACUGGGAUCUUUCCCUUGGGUCCCUGUCUAAUUCUGCCUCAAGUAACCAUCAAAAGAGGUUGGGUUAGUGUGGGAUAGCCAGACUUUAGGGUGAGAGAGGAGAGGGAGAUAAGAGGAGUCUAUCAAACUCUAUGAAGACCCUUCUCGCGAAGGCUUAGUUCCUGGGCUUUUAGCUAGUAAAACAGUGAUAGUAAUUCCCUUUUCCCUUCAAACCUCGUUUAAGAAUAAAUUACAACUUCCAGUGA